This 550-nucleotide ribosomal RNA is filed under the name Exophiala dermatitidis. RNAcentral's name for it is "eukaryotic LSU rRNA". It matches the Rfam family "Eukaryotic large subunit ribosomal RNA", at positions 86 to 648 of the family's 3401-position model. Lineage: Eukaryota; Fungi; Ascomycota; Eurotiomycetes; Chaetothyriales; Herpotrichiellaceae. The record is from RNAcentral.
ACGGCGAGUGAAGCGGCAACAGCUCAAAUUUGAAAUCUGGCCUCUUUGGGGUCCGAGUUGUAAUUUGUAGAGGAUGUUUCGGGCACCGCUCCGGUUUAAAUUUCUUGGAACAGAAUGUCAAAGAGGGUGAGAACCCCGUCUUGGACCGGCAGUAGGGCCCAUGUGAAACUCCUUCGACGAGUCGAGUUGUUUGGGAAUGCAGCUCAAAAUGGGUGGUAAAUUUCAUCUAAAGCUAAAUAUUGGCCAGAGACCGAUAGCGCACAAGUAGAGUGAUCGAAAGAUGAAAAGCACUUUGAAAAGAGAGUUAAACAGUACGUGAAAUUGUUGAAAGGGAAGCGCUUGCAACCAGACUUGCGCGCGGCGGUUCCCCCUUCCUUUUGGUUGGGUUAUUCCGCCGUGUCCAGGCCAACAUCGGUUCUGGGGGUCGGUUAAAGGCCUGGGGAAUGUAUCUACCCUUCGGGCGUAGACUUAUAGCCCCGGGUGUCAUGCGACCUCCCGGGACCGAGGAACGCGCUUCGGCUCGGAUGUUGGCGUAAUGGUUGUCAGCGAC